This 115-nucleotide ribosomal RNA is filed under the name Rehaibacterium terrae. The record is from RNAcentral. RNAcentral also lists the same sequence under 2 other names. Lineage: Bacteria; Pseudomonadati; Pseudomonadota; Gammaproteobacteria; Lysobacterales; Lysobacteraceae.
CCUGGUGACAAUAGCUGUGUGGAACCACCCGAUCCCAUCCCGAACUCGGAAGUGAAACGCACACGCGCCGAUGGUAGUGUGGCCCAAGCCAUGCAAGAGUAGGUCAUCGCCAGGG